RNAcentral lists this small RNA (176 nucleotides) under Frankia sp. RNAcentral's name for it is "c-di-AMP sequence". It matches the Rfam family "c-di-AMP riboswitch aptamer (ydaO/yuaA leader)". Rfam says of the family: This family represents a conserved RNA structure found upstream of the ydaO and yuaA genes in Bacillus subtilis and related genes in other bacteria. The ydaO/yuaA element is thought to act as a genetic "off" switch for the ydaO and yuaA genes in its native state. It is believed that the element may be triggered during osmotic shock leading to activation of ydaO, a predicted amino acid transporter gene, and members of the yuaA-yubG operon which code for KtrA and KtrB K+ transporters. The record is from RNAcentral. RNAcentral also lists the same sequence under 1 other name. Lineage: Bacteria; Bacillati; Actinomycetota; Actinomycetes; Frankiales; Frankiaceae.
UCGGGCGGCACGCCGAAUCCUGCCCCCGCUCGACGAGAAUCAAACCUUUGGCAGGAGCGGGGGAACCAAUUCCGGGCGCCGAUAAAAGACGUCCUCGGGGUGAAGCCGCGAUGCGCGGCCGGGCAUUCCCAGCCCGAACCCGACAGCUCACCUCGCAGGCGUGGGGAAGGGCAACU